UCCCACACCAUCUUCCUCCUCCGAUUUCAGAAGCAAAUCUAUGCGGGUCUGGAUGACGCCCGAACGUGAAGAGCUAGCUAGCUAGCUACGAAGGGCACGCACGCAUGCACGACCGGCGCAGCUUGUGACGGACCAGGGACCGAGGUCUGCCGGGAUAACUGGCGACGACAAAGCACGGUUGCGCUGCUUCCACUGGCCACUACGCAGGAGAGGUAGCCUGCAUGCAUCCUCGCCGGAGACCCGGGCCUGCCGCUCAUGCUCACCGGCCCAGUGGUGGAUCCAUCACUGGUUCUUGUUUAUGCCAGGCUUGACCCAUGCAAGAUCCAGCAAGCGCUAGACAGAUGUUCACCUGAAGCUAGCUAGCCCCCUUGAUGUUGAGGGAACGUCGUCAUGGUGCCUACAGACACGGAAAGACAUGUGCUGGAGAGGGUACUGUACUCCUGCAGCUGAUCUGAUCGCCCGUCAAGAUCUUGAAGCUCAACGAGGAGACAAGACAAUUUGGAAAAUCUAUCAGGAAUCUGGCGUUGAUUCGAGCAUCCAGAUGUGUGCGGUAUUUUUGGGUAGAAACUGAGCAAAUUUAUUUUGUGCAAUAUGAUGUCCACCAGCUGACUCCAUCCCCAUACCCGCACUUGUCCCACCACCUUUCUGUCUAGUCACUUUUUUUUUUUUGCGCAUCUUCUGUCUAGUCACGUUACUAUAUAUGCACGCAUACUCCCACACCUCUCUCCCAUAUAGUAUAAGCUAGUAUUUUAUU
Molecule: long non-coding RNA, 754 nt
Organism: Triticum dicoccoides
Lineage: Eukaryota; Viridiplantae; Streptophyta; Magnoliopsida; Poales; Poaceae
Exons: 4
Source: RefSeq, a predicted model, not a curated record